This is a long non-coding RNA of Neogale vison (American mink), 784 nucleotides long. RefSeq lists it as uncharacterized. The record is from RefSeq and is a predicted model, not a curated record. Lineage: Eukaryota; Metazoa; Chordata; Mammalia; Carnivora; Mustelidae. The transcript is spliced from 3 exons.
CGGGCAGCGGCUGGAUUUCGGCGAACGUCGUCAUGGUCGUGGGCAGCUGGAUCUCUUUGGGGAUCAGGUGUCUACUAACUUCUGGAACAUGGCAUAGAAGAAAUGGGCCAGACUAUUUAUGGGAUUUCAUUGGGAGGAUUGUUGCCAACAAUCCCUUUUCUCUCCUACCAGCAGGAUAAGAAACAGGACCUGUCAAAAUGGAGGGCUUAAGCUCCCUCCAUCCCCAGAAAGAGGGUGAAUUGAAGGAGAGGAAGAGGAAAACCAAUGGGGGCAAGACCAUUGCUCUGCCUGUUAGCUCCAUGUCUGAGCCACAUCUGUAUCCUGUGCCCAUGAUGGUGUCUAGAACCUGGCAGGUUUUAAUGAAAGAAAUGUGCUGGUGGAAAGAACAAAUGAGAAAAAAAAAAAAAGAUUAUUUCAGGGAAAAUGUAGAGAAAUCACUAGGAAGCAAAAGAUAAACAACACUACAACCAGGACCCAUGGUAUCCUGUUGUCUUUCAAGGCCUUUGCUGUCUGCUCUUAGAUAACUAUGUCCUUUCCUGUGCCCCCGACAAAGACCUGAAGCACCUAUACAGUUCUCUACUGACAUUAUCUGUUCACAUCUGUGGCUCCACUUUGAGGAGAGGCAUUGUCCAGGGAAAGGACAGUAUUAUAUUCAUCUUGAUUACCUCCAGUGCCUAAAAUGCCAUCUAGCUCACAGCAGACAGCGUGACGAAUCAUAGGCUCUCAGCAAACGCUACCUGUGUAUUACUACAGUCGGGAUGAUAAACAUGCACUGAGCAGAGAA